GGAAACAAACACACUUUAGGCCUACUGCAAGUUCAUUUCUUUGUCACUUUCUACCAGACAAUUUUAACUUGCUCAUCUGUGAUCUGGAUAAAUUGAGUGAUUUUUUUAAUGGUAGUAAUGUCCUUGGGGACCACGGACCUGCAAGUCUGGUCAAGUUUUCUAAAUAGUGUGAAAUCUAGGCUACUUCCUGGGAAUGUGUUUUUUCUCUUUUUCUUUUUGUGAGAGGUGUGUCUACUUGUGAAAUAUUUGUUUGUUGUGUAACCCAUACCUAAGUGACAUUCUAGACCUACGCCCAGUGUGUCCCAUACCUAAGUGACAUUCUAGACCUACGCCCAGUGUGUCCCAUACCUAAGUGACAUUAUAGACCUAUGCCCAGUGUGUCCCAUAUCUAACUGACAUUAUAGACCUAUGCCUAGCGCUUCUAAAAGGGAAAGAAACCAUGUUAAACCAAAGCAGGAUCCUUAUAAAAGGAGGGAAAAUUGUGAACGAGGAUUGCUCCAUUAUCAGCGAUGUCUACAUUGAAGACGGAAGAAUUAAAGAAGUCGGAUUAAACCUCCAAAUCCCUGCUGGAGUUACCGUUAUAGAUGCCACAGAUAAACUGGUGAUACCGGGUGGUAUCGAUACCCAUACCCACAUGGAGUUGGCAUUUAUGGGCACCAAAGCAGUAGAUGAUUUCCAUAUUGGAACUAAGGCUGCCCUGGCAGGAGGGACCACCAUGAUCCUAGACUUUGUGAUCCCCCAGAGAGGCACGUCUCUGCUGGAGGCCUAUGAUAGGUGGAGGGUCACGGCUGACGCCAAGGUCUGCUGCGACUACUCCCUGCAUGUGGCAGUCACAUGGUGGAGCGACAAGGUCAAAAAGGAAAUGGAGACUUUGGCCAAAGAGAAAGGUGUCAACUCCUUCAAGAUGUUCAUGGCAUACAAGGAUGUGUUCAUGCUUCAAGACCAUGAGCUGUAUGCUGCGUUUUCCCAAUGCAAAGAGAUUGGAGCCAUAGCCCAGGUGCACGCAGAGAAUGGAGACCUUAUUGCAGAGGUAUUCCAAAACAUUUCUGACCACAACACAGUCAAUAUGGCUCAAACCAGGGGUUUGUUCAGUCUACUUCAACUUCUGCGACGUUGUGUAACGGUUUGUAUUGAACCACACAUUGCCUCCAAAUGGUACACACCAUUCAUCAACAGCAUUUGAGGGGGCUAAGAAGAUGCUGUCCCUGGGCAUCACAGGUCCGGAGGGUCAUGAGUUGUGUCGUCCUGAGGAGGUGGAGGCUGAAGCCACCCAGAGAGCCAUCACCAUCGCCCACGCUGUGAACUGCCCGCUCUAUGUUGUCCACGUCAUGAGCAAGUCUGCCGCUAAGGUGGUGUCCAACGCACGCAGAAAUGGUGAGGUGGGCCUGACAAUGCCUGCUGGGAGGAACUGUAGGUGGGAAAGAAUGACAGAGACAGAGAGAGUGAGAGAGAAUGAGAGAGAGAGAGACAGACAGAGACAGAGAGAGUGAGAGAGAGGCUCAACAUGACAUGGAUGGUGUUCUGUGUUAUGUGUGCAUGUUUUUGGGAUGUUUUUGCCACAACAGGCCGUGUGGUGUUUGGAGAGCCCAUAGCAGCAGGACUGGGUACAGAUGGCACCCACUGCUGGCACAAAGACUGGGCCCACGCUGCCAAGUUCGUCAUGGGCCCACCUCUGAGGCCCGACCCCAGCACCCCGGGAUACCUUAUGGACCUACUGGCAAAUGAUGACCUCAGCGUGACUGGGACAGACAACUGCACAUUCUCUGUGUGUCAGAAAGCCCUGGGCAAAGAUGACUUUACAAAGAUCCCCAAUGGAGUCAACGGAGUGGAGGACAGGAUGUCUGUCAUUUGGGAGAAGGGCGUUGUCAGUUAGGCCUCUCAUUCUUCAUAUCACAUCAUUCUUUAUUAUACACACUAUAGGCCAGUUUCCCGGACAGAUUAAGCCUAUAGCCCUACACCAAAAAGCAUACUCAUGGAGAUUCUCCACUGAAAAGGAUGUUUUUGUUGUUGUCCAGGACAAGGGUACAGGUCCUACAAAAAUGAGUGGUACUAUUCUUAGACGGUUGAUUAAGUUCUAUAGUAGGACUUAAAAGGUGACAAGUGACAUUUCUGCUGUGAGAAGAGAAGAUAACAAUUUAUAUUAUGCUAUUUAUUAUGUGCAUCAAGGAAGUUUUUAUCAGUCAGAAUCAAUCCAAACUGUCAUAGUGGAUAAGGCAGCUGGCUAGUUUUCUUUCUGUCCUUCUCUUUCCAUUUCUUUCUUCCUCCCCUACGUCUUUCUGCCCUUCUCUCAGGAUCGGUUGACCAGGAGGCUAUUGCAAAAAUUAACAUUGUAAAACGCUGGCAAAAAAUGACACGUUUUGAUAUUUGGAGUGAAACUUUGAAUCGCUUACUGCACCGUUAAGCAUUGCACUUUGGUCAAGUUAAUUAUGUCAGUAAAUAUGUCAAUAUUUUUGUCAUUCAUAUCCAGAAUACUGAAACUCAGUAUUUUGUGUAAUUACUUUCCGCAGCAUAGCGGGAAAAUGGACGAGAAUCGAUUCGUAGCUGUCACCAGCAGCAAUGCAGCGAAAAUCUUCAACUUCUACCCCCAGAAGGGAAAGAUCGCUAAGGGAUGUGAUGCUGAUGUGGUCAUAUGGGACCCUAAGGCAACCAGGAAGAUCUCUGCAGCUACGCACCACCAGGCUGUGGAUUACAACAUCUUUGAGGGCAUGGAAUGCCACGGUGUUCCCGUGGUGACCAUCUCCAGAGGGAAGGUGGUCUAUGAGAGAGGUCAGCUGAAGACACAGCCAGGACAGGGCCGCUUUGUCCCCAGACAGCCCUACGCAGAGUUCAUCUACAAACGAGUCAACCAGAGGGAACAGGUGGGACAGCCUAGUCCUGUAAUCAGGAAGCCUUAUGAUGGUGAAAUCAUCGCCAUAUAAAGGAAUGGAUCUCAUCAUGAAAGAGACUGUUUAGCUCAGGAUCUACAUGCUGGACCAAGAUAAAAUGUAUGUUUGUUUGAAUGCAGAUGCCAGCAAUGUUUUGAUGCUGAUGAAUAUUAUGUUGCCAAACUAUUUUGUACAAUUUAUACAAUUGCCUAACAUGUAUUAUGUUAUUACUAUGUGAAAUAAACACUUGCAUAGUUAUAUUUGAUGAUGAUGGUGAUGAUGAUUUAAACACUUAACUUCCAACAAUA
Molecule: RNA transcript, 3172 nt
Organism: Oncorhynchus kisutch (coho salmon)
Lineage: Eukaryota; Metazoa; Chordata; Actinopteri; Salmoniformes; Salmonidae
Gene: dpys
Gene name: dihydropyrimidinase
Exons: 7
Source: RefSeq, a predicted model, not a curated record